CUUUCUCCUUGUCAGCCCCAGCACUCAAGCAUCAGAUCAGGCCCACAUGAGUGGGUGUCCCUGAAGUUGUGUGUGCCCUGCUCUGUGCAGUAGUGCUCCACCAACCAGUUAGUGGCAAGAAGCUAAAAGAAGACAAAUCAGGAAAAGCAACAUGAUGAGUUCUUAUCCUGUGGGUGCUGGACCCUGUUGCUGGAUGAGCUUAGCCAAGCUGCCCAGUGGAACAGAAUCAGGUCUUUAGAGAUAGAUAAAUGCAUAGAUGGUCAGUUUUUUUAUGACAGAGAUGACAUUACAAAAACUAUGAACAAAAUGUCUUCACAGGAAAAGUUCUCUGUCAGCCUCAUUUGCAAACAGUCACCUGGUGUAUAAAGUGGGCUCAACAUCAAUAAUCAUCAGAGUGUGAAAGCUGCAACAAACCAGCAGAAACCUUGAGAAGAAAGAUCAUAAAACUGAACCAUGAACAACAUUGAGCACAACCUGGGGAAAGAUCUAGAACACUCUCCUCUGUUUGGAAAUGUGAAGCCAUACCUGAGUUGGAAACCCACCCUGAAGGUGCAUGUACCUUUGAUCCAGGGCUUCCCCUCAGAGCACAUACAGAUGUGUAUAGGUCCCCAUGUUGUACAGGGACCUCACAAAUUUAUCUGUGUCAAGAGCAACCUGAAUCAGCUAAAUGUCAAUCAAGAGUAGAAUGGAAAUAUAGAAGAAUGGAAGUGCAUGCAAUGAAAUACUAUACACUAGUGAAAAUGUUCAAUGAGUUCAAAUACCCUGGAAGAGUAUGCAAGAGCUAGAUAUACU
This 792-nucleotide long non-coding RNA is filed under the name Marmota monax (woodchuck). Lineage: Eukaryota; Metazoa; Chordata; Mammalia; Rodentia; Sciuridae. The record is from RNAcentral.